GACAUACUCCCUCUGUUCUAAAAUUCUUGUCUUAGAUUUGUCUAGAUAUGAAUGCACCUAGUCAUGAUUUAGUAUUUAGAUACAUUCAAUUCUAAACAAACCUAAGACAAAAAAUUUAAGACGGAGGGAGUAUAUG
This 136-nucleotide microRNA precursor is filed under the name Hordeum vulgare. RNAcentral's name for it is "microRNA MIR1122". It matches the Rfam family "MIR1120/MIR1122 microRNA precursor family". The record is from RNAcentral. Lineage: Eukaryota; Viridiplantae; Streptophyta; Magnoliopsida; Poales; Poaceae.